GACGAACGCUGGCGGCGUGCUUAACACAUGCAAGUCGAACGGAAAGGCCCUGCUUUUGUGGGGUGCUCGAGUGGCGAACGGGUGAGUAACACGUGAGUAACCUGCCCUUGACUUUGGGAGAACUUCAGGAAACUGGGGCUAAUACCGGAUAGGAGCUCCUGCUGCAUGGUGGGGGUUGGAAAGUUUCGGCGGUUGGGGAUGGACUCGCGGCUUAUCAGCUUGUUGGUGGGGUAGUGGCUUACCAAGGCUUUGACGGGUAGCCGGCAUGAGAGGGUGACCGGCCACAUUGCGACUGAGGGACGGCGCAGACUGGUACGGGAGGCAGCGGGGGGGAAUAUUGCGCAAUGAGCGCGAGCGUGAUGCAGAGGCGCCGGGUGCGGGAAGACGGCCUACGGGGUGUGAACCGCUUUCGCCUGUGACGAAGCGUGAGUGACGGUAAUGGGUAAAGAAGCACCGGCUAACUACGUG
This 468-nucleotide ribosomal RNA is filed under the name uncultured bacterium. RNAcentral's name for it is "partial 16S ribosomal RNA". It matches the Rfam family "Bacterial small subunit ribosomal RNA", at positions 28 to 507 of the family's 1533-position model. The record is from RNAcentral.